CCGGUCAUACUCCUAGUGGCGUAGCAGCAGAAACAACGAUGCCAGAGCAUUGUGCAGCAUAUUCCUGCUCAAAUCGGCGGACCAUCGAAAGCAGGGCUCGUGGGAUUACUUUUCACAAGUUUCCCAAGGACAAAGAUAUGAGGAAGAAGUGGGAAGUAGCUUUGAGGAGAGAAGGAUUCACUGCAAGUGUGUCAACAGUGCUUUGCUGUCAACAUUUUAAGCAGGGAGAUUUUGAUAGGUCGAGUCAGAUUGUCCGACUCCGAGAUGGUGUUAUUCCAUCCGUCUUCAGCUUCCCAGUUCACCUCCAAAGAUGCAGGGCUACGUCUACCUCCAGAAGAGCUGAAGAAAGCCUGUCCGUGGCCUCUCAGGAUUCCCAAGAAACGGCAACCUCAGACCCACAACCUCAGCCUAAUGAUGAUCAUGGCUAUGCCCUGCCUGCGUCUCCUACCGCUCUUAAGACCAGACUCAAUGAAGCCUUGGCAAGAGUGGAAAGAGUGGAAAGAGUGGAGCGAGAGAAGAAGAAUGCCAUGGCAAGAGAAAAUAGGGCAAAGUCCACAGUCUUUUGGGGGAGUUGAGGGAAAAUAACCUCAUUAAUGAAGAGCUCAAAGAAAAGCUUGAAUUCUACUCCGAUCUUCAGAUAGACCUCAUGGCAAAGCAGGGCCAUGAGUACACAAAGGACUACAAAGAGUUUGCGCUCACGCUCCAUCUACAUGGUCCAAAGGCAUACAAAUACCUCAGAGAGACUCAACAUUUUCCCCUCCCACAUCCACAUACAUUACAAAGGUGGCAGCGUUCGGUGGAUGACAAGCCUGGCCUGAACAAGAUGAUGCUGGAUAUGCUGGAGAGAAGAUGCCAGGGCUAAAUAUGGAUGUGUUUCGCUCAUGUUGGAUGCCAUGUCCAUCAGAAAACAUGUGCAGUAUAAUCCACAUACCCAGUCGAUGUCUGGUUUUGUAGACAUGGGUGAUGGAAUCAGUGAGACUGAUGUUGCUACUGAGGCUCUUGUGUUCAUGGUGGUUGGCCUACAGGGACAUUGGAAGGCUCCCAUUGCUUACUUCCUGACCAAGUCUCUCUCUCCAGAAACACAAAGGGUCCUUCUCAUUCACUCUUUGGAGGAGUUGCAUGCACGGGGCAUCCGGGUGGUAUGUGUAACAAUGGAUGGGCAUGCCUCCAAUGUCAGCAUGUGCAACCAACUUGGGUGUGAGCUGAAGGGAGACCCACAAGAGGUGCUUCAAACCAGUUUCUCGCAUCCAGUGACUGGUGAGAAUGUAUUUGUAAUGAUGGACGCUUGUCACAUGCUCAAGUUGGCACGUAAUAUGUUGCAGGCAUACAGUCCAAUUGCAUCGACCACUGGACAUAUCAGUUGGAGGUACAUCAAUCAUCUCAAUGAUGUGCAAAAAAAGAUGGACUGCAUGCUGCCAAUAAAAUUACAGACAAACAUGUCUACUUUGAGAACCACAAGAUGAGGGUGUCCCUGGCUGCACAGACACUGAGUCGAUCCGUGUCAGUGGCUCUCCGCACAAUGAGGGAUCUUGGGUACUCUCAGUUUAAGGACUGUGAGGCAAUGGCAGAAUUCAUUGAGGUAAUACAAUUAGUGAUUAUAGAAUCAAGUACAUGUUUUUAUUUUUAUAAUUCAUCGGAGUGGUAAAGCUCUGUGAAAUGAGCUGUAUUACAAAGCAUACCUAUGGAAAGAAGCAAGUCAAGCAAAUACUAAUACUUGCAUGUUUACUCGUUGAGCAUACAGUUUAGAAAUAUGCACUGUGUUCUUUGUAUAUUUUGAAUAGAUGAGUAUUGAUUUCCACUAACUUAUACCUAAUGAAACCCUGUAAUGAUAGUGAUUUUAGAUGCUGAUAUUUCUUUAUAGAUUAUUGACAGGCUGUUUGAUACCAUGAAUGGACGCAAUCCUCGUGCCAAAGGAUUCAAAGCUCCCUUGGGUGCCUUGAAUUGGAGAGGAAAGCAUUUUUGUCAAGAGCCAGGGAGUACUUGCUCACUUUGGUGACAAAAGAUGAAACACCCCUUCACCGAUCUAAGAGGUCUAUUAAAAUAGUGCUUGUUAAGUUCAUGGCAUGGGUUCGACACUCUGUUCCCCCUAUGCAUCGAGUUCCUAAGAUGCUCCGUUGUUCUGUUAUGCAUCGACUUCCUAAGAUGCUCCUAACUGCUUCAGUUGUGUUUGUCUGAAUUUUGUAUUCAGUGUUUUUCAGGUCCUAGAUGCUUCUAAAUGGUAUGUAUUACACAACAUCAACUUUAUGCAGGUGUCAGAAAGAUGGUAUGUAUGUUGAUAUGAUAUCUUGUUUAAAUGUUUUUCAAUAUGUAGUUUUGUUUCUGUUGGAAUUAUCUUGUAUUCAGUGUGUUUAUCAGGUCUAGAUGUUUCUAAAUGGUAUGUAUUACACAACAUCAAGUACAUGUCGGUGUCAAAAUGGUAGGUAUUGCAUGUGUUGUUUUCAAGUUAUCCCAGUUCUGCAAUUACAUUGUUCCAAUUUAAUGUUCCUUUGUCUACAAGUAUACAGUAUAAGUUAAACAAGAAACGGAUCCCAUUCCUAAAAACAUGGAUGCAAACUAAUUAUCUAUCUGGUAGCUGUUUACCAUUUUCAUUCUCUGAGUUUGCACCCCUGUGAUAGGCACUCAAGACUGGGUGAUUACACAUUACUGAUGGAUGUGAUGGAACAUUCACUUUACUGCUUUGAAUUAACAAAAUCACAUGGGGCUUUCUUUGGGUGUUCUUUUUCUCGCCAUGAUCAGAGUAAUACAACUUUUUUCUUUUGCAGGCACUUGUCGGUCAUCGGAUUUUUCAUCAAUAUCGACAUGUUGAUGCUGAUGAUUCCUGAACUGCUCAAAGUUCAGCGGUAUGUGCUCACCUACAGGUUAAGCCAAGAUCACUUGGAGCUCCUAUUUAAUUCCAUCAGAGCGGGCUAGUGAUUCCAUCACAAGGCACAGUGAAGGUGCUGAGAGCUGCAGAGAGGGUGAUCCGCCAAGCUU
This is a long non-coding RNA of Esox lucius (northern pike), 2973 nucleotides long. RefSeq lists it as uncharacterized. NCBI's taxonomy places the organism in Eukaryota, Metazoa, Chordata, Actinopteri, Esociformes, Esocidae. The record is from RefSeq and is a predicted model, not a curated record. The transcript is spliced from 8 exons.